Long non-coding RNA from Harpia harpyja (harpy eagle), 489 nucleotides. RefSeq lists it as uncharacterized. NCBI's taxonomy places the organism in Eukaryota, Metazoa, Chordata, Aves, Accipitriformes, Accipitridae. The transcript is spliced from 3 exons. The record is from RefSeq and is a predicted model, not a curated record.
AUAGUCCCCAACACAGUGGUUGUAGUUGUGACUGAGCUGUCACAAACAAGAUGGCCGGUCGUGGUGGCAUCAUGGGAUUCAGAAACACACGCACAGCAUUGGGAGAGGAGCCCAGAGUUUCAACAGCAGAUUUCUCAUUCUCCACACCCUGUGCCAAAGCAGAUGGGCAGAGGAAGCUUGGCGAGUAAACAGCAUGCUUGACAUUACGGAGCAAGGCUGCAGCAGAACAAUUUCUGGAUGCCAACCCAGGGCCCCAGUCCCGAAACCAGCCCUUUCCUUCUGGACACCUACCACAUAGCAAGAAGCUUCAUCCACAACGUGGGAAUCCCAGGCAUAAUUUCCUCUUCUAAGAGUAGGAAUAUGUGCGUCCUAGAUACACGCUGUAACUACCAAAUAACAGGUUCUAUCCUGGGGAGGUGCUUCACGCCCAAAAUAAAACAGGGACACUUGGCAAGAGACAAGAUUUGGUGAGGGAAUCAGAAGCUGUCA